RNAcentral lists this long non-coding RNA (249 nucleotides) under Lepisosteus oculatus (spotted gar). Its description in RNAcentral is "lncRNA (ENSLOCG00000022314.1)". The record is from RNAcentral. Lineage: Eukaryota; Metazoa; Chordata; Actinopteri; Semionotiformes; Lepisosteidae.
AGAGGCUACCGGAGAGAUUGACUGGCUCUGCGCCUUAGCGCCUGUUUUGUCUGUUCGCUCACAGAAAGAGAUCGCGCAACUCAAACAGGAUGGAGAGACCAUGCGGAAAGAGACCGUGGGGAAUCUGCAGCGCUUGUCAGAGCGAGUUCAGGCCGAAGUGUCCGACCUCAAAUCGUCUCUUAAAAGCUGGCAGUCGGAGGAUAGUGCCCGGGCACUGGAGAAGCUGGCCCGCCUGGAGCAGGAGCUGAC